Molecule: ribosomal RNA, 440 nt
Filed under: uncultured bacterium
Lineage: Bacteria
Description: partial 16S ribosomal RNA
Rfam family: Bacterial small subunit ribosomal RNA
Source: RNAcentral
CCUACGGGUGGCUGCAGUGGGGGAUAUUGCACAAUGGGGGGAACCCUGAUGCAGCGACGCCGCGUGGGUGAAGGAGCGCCUCGGCGCGUAAAGCCCUGUCAGCAGGGAAGAAAAUGACGGUAGCUGAAGAAGAAGCCACGGCUAAAUAAGUGCCAGCAGCCGCGGUAAUACGUAGGGGGCAAGCGUGAUCCGGAUUUACGGGGUGUAAGGGGGGCGCAGACGGCGAUGCAAGCCAGGGGUGAAAGCCCGGGGCCAAAGCCCGGGACUGCUCUUGGAACUGCGUGGCUGGAGUGCAGGAGGGGCAGGCGGAAUUCCUGGUGUAGCGGUGAAAUGCGUAGAUAUCAGGAGGAACACCGGUUGCGAAGGCGGCCUGCUGGACUGCAACUGACGUUGAGGCCCGAAAGCGUGGGGAGCAAACAGGAUUAGAUACCCUUGUAGUC